AUUGAUUUCUUUAUUGAACCGUUUUUAAAUAGGCCACUUUGUAGCUUGUCUUUCGCUUACGGCCAUACCAGCCUGUACGCCCGAUCUCGUCCGAUCUCGGAAGCUAAGCAGAGUCGGGCCUGGUUAGUACUUGGAUGGGAGACCGCCUGGGAAUACCAGGUGCUGUAAGCGUUUU
RNAcentral lists this ribosomal RNA (175 nucleotides) under Pimelodus microstoma. Lineage: Eukaryota; Metazoa; Chordata; Actinopteri; Siluriformes; Pimelodidae. The record is from RNAcentral.